UGGUAGUGUAUUGGACUACCACGGCAGUCACGGGUAACGGAGAAUUAGGGUUCGAUUCCGGAGAGGGAGCCUGAGAAACGGCUACCACAUCUAAGGAAGGCAGCAGGCGCGUAAAUUACCCAAUCCCGAUCCGGGGAGGUAGUGACAAGAAAUAGCAACUCGUGCGGGUUUCCGUUACGGGAUUGCAAUGAGAUAAGUCCAAAUCCGUAAACGAUUAACAAUUGGAGGGCAAGUCUGGUGCCAGCAGCCGCGGUAAUUCCAGCUCCAAUAGCGUAUACUUAAGUUGUUGCAGUUAAAAAGCUCGUAGUUGAAAUUCGAGUCUGUUACUAGUUGGCUUUUCGUCAGUUAGUUAAUUGAUUCUCCGUCUACAAUCCCUUUUGCGCUUUAGGGUUGCAGCUGGGCGAGUAGACAAUUUACCUUGAAAAAAUUAGAGUGUUCCAGGCAGGUCUUCGCCGGAAUACAUUAGCAUGGAAUAAUGGAAUAGGACUUGGGUCUUUUGUUGGUUUUAGGACUUGAGUAAUGAUUAAUAGGGACAGAUGGGGGCAUUAGUAUUUAAUUGUCAGAGGUGAAAUUCUUGGAUUUAUUAAAGACUAACUUAUGCGAAAGCAUUUGCCAAGGAUGUUUUCAUUAAUCAAGAACGAAAGUUAGGGGAUCAAAGACGAUCAGA
This 667-nucleotide ribosomal RNA is filed under the name uncultured ciliate. RNAcentral's name for it is "SSU rRNA". It matches the Rfam family "Eukaryotic small subunit ribosomal RNA", at positions 326 to 1012 of the family's 1831-position model. The record is from RNAcentral. Lineage: Eukaryota; Ciliophora.